GACGAACGCUGGCGGCGUGCCUAACACAUGCAAGUCGAACGGAGAUACGAUUUCGGUUGUAUCUUAGUGGCGAACGGGUGAGUAACGCGUGAGCAACCUGACCUUUAGAGGGGGAUAACACUUGGAAACAGGUGCUAAUACCGCAUAAGACCACGACCUGACAUCAGGAUGAGGUCAAAGGAGCAAUCCGCUAAAGGAGGGGCUCGCGUCCCAUUAGAUAGAUGGCGGGGUAACGGCCCACCAUGUCGACGAUGGGUAGCCGAGCUGAGAGGCUGAUCGGCCACACUGGAACUGAGACACGGUCCAGACUCCUACGGGAGGCAGCAGUGGGGAAUAUUGGGCAAUGGGCGCAAGCCUGACCCAGCAACGCCGCGUGAGGGAAGAAGG
RNAcentral lists this ribosomal RNA (387 nucleotides) under uncultured bacterium. RNAcentral's name for it is "bacterial SSU rRNA". It matches the Rfam family "Bacterial small subunit ribosomal RNA", at positions 28 to 414 of the family's 1533-position model. The record is from RNAcentral.